CGUAAUGCUCUAGAUUAGAGUUGAUCCUGGCUCAGGCAUCGAACGCUGGUCGUGACGAUGCCUAAUACAUGCAAGUCGAGCGAACAGAGAAGGAGCUUGCUCCUUUGACGUUAGCGGCGGACGGGUGAGUAACACGUGGGCAACCUACCUUAUAGUUUGGGAUAACUCCGGGAAACCGGGGCUAAUACCGAAUAAUCUAUUUUGCUUCAUGGUGAAAUACUGAAAGACGGUUUCGGCUGUCGCUAUAAGAUGGGCCCGCGGCGCAUUAGCUAGUUGGUGAGGUAACGGCUCACCAAGGCGAUGAUGCGUAGCCGACCUGAGAGGGUGAUCGGCCACACUGGGACUGAGACACGGCCCAGACUCCUACGGGAGGCAGCAGUAGGGAAUCUUCCACAAUGGGCGAAAGCCUGAUGGAGCAACGCCGCGUGAGUGAGGAAGGUUUUCGGAUCGUAAAACUCUGUUGUAAGGGAAGAACAAGUACAGUAGUAACUGGCUGUACCUUGACGGUACCUUAUUAGAAAGCCACGGCUAACUACGUGCCAGCAGCCGCGGUAUACGUAGGUUGGCAAGCGUUGUCCCGAACUUAUUGGGGCCGUAAAAGCGCAGCGCAAGGGCGGGCCCCUUUAGUCCUGAUGUGAAAGCCCACGGUCCAACCGUGGGAGGGNUCAUGCAAACUGGGGGGGACUUUGAAUU
RNAcentral lists this ribosomal RNA (693 nucleotides) under uncultured bacterium. RNAcentral's name for it is "bacterial SSU rRNA". It matches the Rfam family "Bacterial small subunit ribosomal RNA", at positions 1 to 649 of the family's 1533-position model. The record is from RNAcentral.